RNAcentral lists this unclassified non-coding RNA (421 nucleotides) under plant metagenome. RNAcentral describes it as "partial contains 5.8S ribosomal RNA, internal transcribed spacer 2, and large subunit ribosomal RNA". It matches the Rfam family "Bacterial small subunit ribosomal RNA", at positions 358 to 777 of the family's 1533-position model. The record is from RNAcentral.
GGAAUAUUGGUCAAUGGGUGAGAGCCUGAACCAGCCAUGCCGCGUGCAGGAAGACUGCCUUCUGGGUUGUAAACUGCUUUUACCGGGGGAUAAAAUUCCCAUGCGUGGGACAUUGAAGGUACCCGGUGAAUAAGCCACGGCUAACUACGUGCCAGCAGCCGCGGUAAUACGUAGGUGGCGAGCGUUGUCCGGAUUUAUUGGGUUUAAAGGGUGCGUAGGCGGUCUUAUAAGUCAGUGCUGAAAUAUCCCGGCUUAACCGGGAGGGUGGCAUUGAUACUGUAGGACUUGAGUAAAGUUGAGGUAGGCGGAAUUGACGGUGUAGCGGUGAAAUGCUUAGAUAUCGUCAAGAACACCGAUAGUGUAGACAGCUUACUAAGCUUUAACUGACGCUGAGGCACGAAAGUGUGGGGAUCAAACAGGA